AAUCCCGAGUGACCAGCAAUUGGUGAUGAAUGGAACUCCUUCAGAAUUAUUGCCUAGUAAGAAGAAUGUGGGGCAACCACUAUUCGGCCUUUAUAGUGUAAGUCCACCGAAUCCCAACUAUAAUUUGAGACAGAACCUGGGGCUUCUUCUAAUUUUUUAAUGAUGUUUUGGAUCUCAAGAUUAUUUGUCCAUUCCCUUCUGAUAACUUCAAAAGUCUCG
This 219-nucleotide long non-coding RNA is filed under the name Musa acuminata (dwarf banana). Its description in RNAcentral is "long non-coding RNA (MACU_LNC002042)". The record is from RNAcentral. Lineage: Eukaryota; Viridiplantae; Streptophyta; Magnoliopsida; Zingiberales; Musaceae.